UACACUCCUGCGGGAGGCAGCAGUGGGGAAUAUUGCACAAUGGGCGCAAGCCUGAUGCAGCCAUGCCGCGUGUAUGAAGAAGGCCUUCGGGUUGUAAAGUACUUUCAGCGGGGAGGAAGGCGAUAAGGUUAAUAACCUUGUUGAUUGACGUUACCCGCAGAAGAAGCACCGGCUAACUCCGUGCCAGCAGCCGCGGUAAUACGGAGGGUGCAAGCGUUAAUCGGAAUUACUGGGCGUAAAGCGCACGCAGGCGGUCUGUCAAGUCGGAUGUGAAAUCCCCGGGCUCAACCUGGGAACUGCAUUCGAAACUGGCAGGCUAGAGUCUUGUAGAGGGGGGUAGAAUUCCAGGUGUAGCGGUGAAAUGCGUAGAGAUCUGGAGGAAUACCGGUGGCGAAGGCGGCCCCCUGGACAAAGACUGACGCUCAGGUGCGAAAGCGUGGGGAGCAAACAGGAUUAGAAACCCGUGUAGUCCCA
Molecule: ribosomal RNA, 474 nt
Filed under: uncultured organism
Description: partial 16S ribosomal RNA
Rfam family: Bacterial small subunit ribosomal RNA
Source: RNAcentral